UUUCCGCUGCCAUCGUGCAAUGCGUCAUUCCACUUUUGGACGAGGUUAGGUAAGAACGGAUUUUAUAAUCGGUUUAUUUCCACGGGUGUUGCUGCUUUGUAACCAAUAAAUGUGCUUGUGAAAGGAAUUUUUAGUACAGUGAAAAUGUUUAAAAUAUUGGUUCAAAGUUUGGCGAAAAACUCGUGUGAAAGCCGAGCACCGUCACAAAUUGCCGCCGUGACGUGUGUAAAAAAUUCAUUGAUUUUACCAGCGGCCAAUAAUCAUACAUUUGCCACGAGUACUAUAGCACGACGCCAUUUUCUUUUUCUAACCAACAGAAGACCAGUGAGCUUUGCUUUUCAUCAUCACGAUCUAACAGCAGGCAGAAAGGACGCAUUAGCGGAGUAUAAACAGAUUAAGAAAUCAUUCUUAACAAAUUCUAGUGGAAUAAUCAACUCCGGUAGCUUCUACAGGUAUUUUCACAAGUCGAGCGAAAAUUUAGUGGAAGGAGAAGCGUCGUCUGCAGAAAAGCAAAAGUCUUCGGUAAAAACCAGCAAUAAACACUCGUUUACAAAUUCAUCUUUGUAUAUAGAUCCAGACGAAAUGGCACCUCAUGAUAGGAACUUUGGCGGUCGUGGUGCACGUGGUGGAGAUGAUCGUCAUGCCAGACAGGGAGGCGGUGGCAUGCGCAAUGGAGGCGCUGGCGGUAAUGGAGGUGAUUUCCACGGUGUGCGAAACGGUCGUGUUGACAAGAAUCGUGGAGGUGGUGGUGGCGGACGUGGAGGUAGCGGAGGUUUUGGUGGCGGUAGCGGUUUUGGUGGUGGAUAUGGAGGAGGCAAUCGUGGGGGCACCCAAGAUCUUACCCUCGGAAAUGUCGACUUCUCAAAUCUUGCACCAUUCAAGAAGAAUUUCUAUGAAGAACACCCAAUUGUUGCAAACCGUUCCCCGUAUGAAGUACAACGUUUUAGGGACGAACAUGAAAUCACCAUCCGUGGAAAUGCCCCUAACCCAAUUCAAGAUUUCAGCGAAGCCUAUUUUCCAGAUUAUGUAAUGAAGGAAGUACGCCGUCAAGGUUAUAAAGCGCCGACAGCUAUUCAGGCACAAGGUUGGCCAAUUGCUAUGAGUGGUUCGAAUUUUGUCGGUAUUGCACAGACUGGAUCCGGCAAAACCCUUGGGUACAUCUUGCCAGCGAUCGUACAUAUUAACAACCAGAAACCGUUAGAGCGGGGAGAUGGACCCAUAGCUUUGGUCUUGGCACCGACACGAGAAUUGGCUCAACAGAUUCAACAAGUUGCCACCGAAUUUGGCUCUUCAUCGUACGUUAGAAACACAUGCGUUUUUGGUGGGGCUCCAAAAGGAGGUCAAAUGCGCGAUUUGCAGCGUGGCUGUGAAAUCGUCAUUGCCACACCGGGUCGCUUAAUUGAUUUUCUUGCAAUGAAUGCCACCAACCUGAAGCGUUGUACAUAUUUGGUAUUGGAUGAAGCUGAUCGUAUGUUAGAUAUGGGCUUUGAGCCUCAAAUUCGCAAGAUUCUGUCACAGAUUCGCCCCGAUCGCCAAACACUUAUGUGGUCUGCUACUUGGCCCAAAGAAGUUAAGCAAUUGGCUGAAGAUUUUCUUGGCAACUACAUUCAAAUAAAUAUUGGUUCUCUGGAAUUAUCGGCAAAUCACAAUAUCCGCCAAGUCGUUGACGUCUGUGAAGAACAUGACAAAGAAGACAAGUUAAAGUCUUUGCUUUCUGAAAUUUACGAUACCAGCGAAAACCCAGGCAAGAUCAUAAUCUUUGUGGAGACCAAACGUCGCGUGGACAACUUAGUUCGUUUUAUUCGUAGUUUCGGUGUGCGCUGCGGCGCCAUUCAUGGCGACAAGUCACAGUCGGAACGUGAUUACGUCUUACGUGAGUUCCGUUCUGGAAAGUCAAACAUUCUGGUAGCAACUGAUGUCGCUGCACGUGGUUUGGGUAAGUUUUGCAGGUGCACUCGCUAUCAAAUCAUUUUAUUACAACAUCAUUUCCAUAUUUAUAAUGUUAUUAUUUACAUUUACAAAAUUUACUUGACCGUGAUUGCAAAAUAUUUUAAAUUUCUAUGACAAGAAUAAAAAAUGACCAGAUCAUUUGCAAUCACGUAUUCCAGUAAUUACAAUUGUAAGUAGCUACUCCAUUACAUCUAAUGAUCCUAGGCAUCUGACAAUGCUUCAACGAUAGAUCCUAAAUUUACUCGAACCAGUUCUCCAAAAUUCACUUUAGCUUUAGUGACAAAUAAGUCAUCAUAACUCUGAUAAAAGACAUAUUAAUCAAUUUGGAAUUUUUCCCUUCUUUUCCCCCAAAUCUAUUCUCCUAAUUCUUUUCGUUUACAGAGGCCGAUUAUUGUAGUAUGGUGGGGAUAAAAUGAUCAACUUUUGAAAUGACGCAAUUCACUAGGAUUGCGUUGAUAAGUGAACUCUUGAAUUUUUUCGCAAAAGUAUCCGCCGAAAAGCUCUUUGAACGGAGCGUUUCCAUAAAAGCUGAAUGAAAAGUGCGACGGUGGCGGCAGUACUUUGUCUACACAUUCCGAUGCAAAAGAGGGAUGUCGUCGAACCACCUGCUGCCACACGUUUGCACGCAUCGUCAUUGCACAUUUGAGGAGAGAUAUAAUACGCAACAGCAGAUGGAUACGCUUAUGUAACACGUACAACCUGUGCGACAAAGCGUUUCAGUGCAACUUAGCGUAUACACAAGUACUCCAGACUACAAAAAAGUAAAAGGCAGAAACAUUCGUCCAUAACACGCGAAAUCUAUGUCGCGUCGUCGUGUAAUUUUUUAUUCAUUUUGUGUUUUGUAUAAAAAUUGCCUUACAAAAAAAUAUAAAACCAGCUUUUUCUCCCAAUUUGGCAAUGUGCAUAAAGAGUUCUGCGGUACACAAUAUCCCUAUCAUCAUGCAGCAAAUGUGGCCUCUGCUAUCUUUUAUUUAAAGUGAUAGUAUUUUUCGAAACUAAAAAGUAUCGAUUUCGAAAAUAGAAAAUAAAUAUAGGAAUUUUCAAAGUAUUAAACAAAUGCCAAUCGAAGGGACAGAUUAUGUAAAUUCAAUAAAUUGUUUUGUUAGUAUUUUAUGUGAAUUUUCCUUUCUGGUACGUCAUAACGAAUCGCGUUAAAUCACACGCAGGCAAUCAAGAGAAACUCCAUACAACUAAAUGCAUGUCCAUCCUACAAUCGCUAUAAUAAUCGCAUGUGUUCUUUGACUGAAUCGUAUCGACUUUGUAGAAAAUAUUUCGAUUUGCAAGGAACAGGUUCAUUGCGCGUAAUUAAAUAAAAAAAUUAAAGAAAAACAUUUACGAAUAAAUUAGUUAAUAUCUGAAGUGAUCCGCUAUCAUUUUUGCUGGCAAUCUUUGAUCCUGUUCAACGCGUAUUCGCGGUAAAAAGCGCUCGGUUGUUGUAACGUGGCACGGCAUCGAAAAUGUUUUGCCUUACUCAUUCGAUAAAAGGAAAGGUUGUUUGUAUCAAACGAGCUGGUGGCGACCUUCUUUUGGACAAUAAACAAAUGUUGAGAAGCUGUUGCUGUUGUUCUAACUCUACCAUGGACAUCACAGAACACCAGUUCAUCAUUUGCUGCACGUCCAGAAAAAAGCGUCGUCGUCGUCUGCGGAUUCUUGAACAACACAUUCACAUUCCAUGAAAUGCCGAAAGUUCGUGAAAGGCAAAACGUAACUUAAAAAGUGCCACAAACGCAUCACAAUACCGCCGACAAAGGACACAUUUGCAACGUGGAUUUGUUUGUAUAAAAAUUGGAGGAUAUGCAUAUUAAUAUAAUGGUGAAGUGUGAGAAAACGACGGACAUUUACUGGCCGUCAUAGUUAAAUGAAGAUAACUACUCUUUGUCAACAUGCCUGCGGUAGUGGUUUUACCUGAACAUUGGCUGAUGGAUGCACGACGUCGGCGAGCGGCGCACAAACUCUACCACCAAAUAGUUGGAUGUGCGCUGAACUCCACUCGAGACGCAUUUAACUCGAAACUCGUGCGGAAUCGAGCUGCAUCGUUCGUCCAUCUUGUGUCCAUUUAAUGUUGAUUGAGAGAAAAAAGGGAGACAGAUUAGAAGGGAAAUACCCUGACUAUAUUUAAAGUUUAACCACAUGCUCUUCCACUCGUUUCGCUGAACGGGACGAGAGAAGAGUGUGAAUAUAAAUCGACUAUUUGAAGAUGUGGACGGUAUCAAAUAUGUAAUUAACUUCGAUUACCCACAAUCGUCAGAGGAUUAUAUUCAUAGAAUCGGACGCACUGGACGUUCCAACACAAAAGGCACUUCUUAUGCAUUCUUCACCAAAAAUAAUGCCAAACAGUCGAGAGCGCUGGUUGAUGUAUUACGAGAGGCUAAUCAGGAAAUUAAUCCUGCGCUAGAAGGUAUGGCGCGUAAUAACCGUGGAUUUGAUGGUGGUCGUUCCCGUUAUGGUGGUGGCGGCGGCAACUCCCGUUUCAAUGGCACCUUCCGAAAGGGCGCUAUUGGAGGCGGCGGUAAUGGUGGUGGUGGCCGCAGCUACGGUGGCGGUUAUGGCGGCAACAGCGGCGGAGGAUUUGCCGGCGGACGCAGCAACGGUUACAGCAAUAACAAUGGCAACAGCGGCGAAAACAGUUACGGUAGCCGCAACGCAGCCAGCAGUAGUAGUGGCGGCGGCGGCGGCAGACAGCAUACGCGCUUUGAUUAAAUAUACAAAUUAUGCUAGGAUAUAAGUUAUUAAUAUUAAUUUCUCAUUUAAAUGCAGUUUUACUUAAAUAUAACUACUAACAUUAAACUAAAACCCACUUUUGCUUCAAAUGUUGAAUUUUCUGGUUUGAACAGAAAUUACUCUAAACCUAGCCAAUAACUAAUAGUGAGGUUUAAGUCAGUUUACAUUUUAUAUAUUUUUCAAAUCUGCAUUUCUUUCAAUAACAAAAACGAGUUUAAAUUACUUGAAAAUCAAAAGUACAUGCUCUCGGGCGAGUCGUAAAAGAAAGAAAGAAAGAAAACGCAGCGUUUGGACCAGUAAUUAUUCCGAAUGUUUAAUCUUUGAAAAAUUUUGUUUGCUACGGGGCAACAUUUAAUGCUUCAUGAGCGUGUGCUUUUGCAAAAGUAAUUUGUGAUGAAGAAAAUUUAUUUAUAUUUAUAUUAAUUUUGCCCUGUAUAAAACGCGUAUUUGCACUCAGAAUGUAGCCGUAAAUAUCGUCAUACAUAGCGUCUAUUGUAUGUGUAGUCCUAAGUUAGCUUCAUCUAUCCAUGCGCCCAACCAUUAACUGGCACAAACUAUCAGUAUCUCUUUAAUACAUUAACAACAACAGCACAUUUUUAUAAUCUGUGCGCCUAGACUUCAAGUGACAUUUACAAGCAAAUGUAAAAAAAAAA
Bactrocera oleae (olive fruit fly) is the source of this 5324-nucleotide non-coding RNA. The record is from RefSeq and is a predicted model, not a curated record. Lineage: Eukaryota; Metazoa; Arthropoda; Insecta; Diptera; Tephritidae.